AUGUGGACCCGUCUUCGUCAGCGCUAUGAGCCCUCUAGUGAUGCCCUUUACCUUUCUCUGGUCCGUCAGGAUCAUGCUCUUUAGCAGGGAGACUCUACUGUUGAUGACUUCUAUGCACAGAGUUCUGCUAUCUGGCGCCAGCUUGAUUCUCUCCGCAGUGCUGGUUGUCGUACCUGCCCCUGUUGCUAGGCUGUCCAGGCCAAUUUGGAGUUUCAUCGCAUCUAUGAGUUCCUGUCUCGGCUUCGUAAGGAGUUUGAGCCCCGGCGUGCUCAGUUGUUUGCUCGUGGCCAUAUUUCUCUCAUGGAGGCGCUUUCUGAGAUUCGUGCUGAGGAGACUUGCUUACGUGGUGCUGGUUUGCUGGAGGUUCCCUCUGUGCUCGUUACUCGUGCUCCUACGCCACCUGCUGCACUGACCCCUUCUCGCUCGAGUGCUCCGCCGCUCUUGCCCACUCCUUCUGGAGGCUCAGGUCGCCCCCGUCCAUGUUGCGAAUAUUGCAACAAUGACGGUCAUCUUGACUCUCAGUGCUACACGAAGAAGAAACACCUGCACAAGGCACGAUCAUCAUCUUCAGGGACUUCGUCA
RNAcentral lists this ribosomal RNA (582 nucleotides) under Triticum aestivum (bread wheat). RNAcentral describes it as "partial small subunit ribosomal RNA". The record is from RNAcentral. Lineage: Eukaryota; Viridiplantae; Streptophyta; Magnoliopsida; Poales; Poaceae.